This 841-nucleotide ribosomal RNA is filed under the name uncultured bacterium. RNAcentral describes it as "bacterial SSU rRNA". It matches the Rfam family "Bacterial small subunit ribosomal RNA", at positions 22 to 838 of the family's 1533-position model. The record is from RNAcentral.
CCUUGAAACAAACGCUAGCGGCGUGCCUAACACAUGCAAGUCAAACGAGAAAAUUCGCUUCGGCGAAUGAGUAGAGUGGCGCACGGGUGAGUAACGCGUGGACAAUCUGCCCUAGAGUUAGGAAUAACCCACCGAAAGGUGGGCUAAUACCCAAUAAUGCUGUACUUCUUCGGGAGUAUAGCCAAAGAUGGCCUCUGUUUACAAGCUAUCGCUCAAGGAUGAGUUCGCGUACCAUUAGCUUGUUGGUGGGGUAAAGGCCUACCAAGGCGACGAUGGUUAGCUGGUCUGAGAGGACGGCCAGCCGCACUGGAACUGAGACACGGUCCAGACUCCUACGGGAGGCAGCAGUGAGGAAUCUUGCGCAAUGGGGGAAACCCUGACGCAGUAACGCCGCGUGAGUGAGGAAGGKYYUUCGGAUCGUAAAGCUCUGUCAGGUGGGAARRAAUGUAUGAAGGCCAAUACCCUUCAUAUUUGACGGUACCACCAGAGGAAGCACCGGCAAACUCCGUGCCAGCAGCCGCGGUAAUACGGGGGGUGCAAGCGUUGUUCGGAAUUAUUGGGCGUAAAGAGCGUGUAGGCGGUUGAGUAAGUCAGAUGUGAAAGCCCUGGGCUUAACUCAGGAAGUGCAUUUGAAACUGCUUAACUAGAGUAAGAGAGAGGAAAGUGGAAUUCCUGGUGUAGAGGUGAAAUUCGUAGAUAUCAGGAGGAACACCGGUGGCGAAGGCGGCUUUCUGGCUCUAUACUGACGCUGAGACGCGAAAGCGUGGGUAGCAAACAGGAUUAGAUACCCUGGUAGUCCACGCCGUAAACGAUGUUCACUAGGUGUUGGGGGCAUUGACCC